Molecule: ribosomal RNA, 481 nt
Filed under: uncultured bacterium
Lineage: Bacteria
Description: bacterial SSU rRNA
Rfam family: Bacterial small subunit ribosomal RNA
Source: RNAcentral
ACGCUGGCGGCGUGCCUUAACACCAUGCAAGUCGAGCGGAGCCAUCUAGAAGAUCCCUUCGGGGUGAUUCUGGGGAAGCUUAGCGGCGGACGGGUUGAGUAACGCGUGAGUAACCUGCCCAUUAGUGGGGAAUAACACAGAGAAAUUUGUGCUAAUACCGCAUACUGAAUAUUUAAGGCAUCCUUAGAUAUUUGAAAGAUUUAUCGCUAAUGGAUGGACUCGCGUCUGAUUAGAUAGUUGGUGGGGUAAAGGCCUACCAAGUUCGACGAUUGGUAGCCGGACUGAGAGGUUUGAACGGCCACCAUUGGGACUGAGACACGGCCCAGACUCCUACGGGAGGCAGCAGUGGGGGAUAUUGCACAAUGGGGGAAACCCUGAUGCAGCAACGCCGCGUGAGGGAAGAAGUAUUCCGGUAUGUAAAGCUCUAUCAGCAAGGAAGAAAAUGACGGUACUUGACUAAGAAGCCCCGGCUAACUACGUG